Molecule: long non-coding RNA, 2491 nt
Organism: Pteropus alecto (black flying fox)
Lineage: Eukaryota; Metazoa; Chordata; Mammalia; Chiroptera; Pteropodidae
Exons: 4
Source: RefSeq, a predicted model, not a curated record
UCCCGCGCGCUCCGCCGCCGGGCCGGGUCCCCGCCAGCCCCCCUGGCCAAGAGCACAGGAAAUCGUCCCAACUAGGCACAGCCCGGGCCUGCUAGCCGGGCGAAGCGUGUCACGGGGACGAGGACCAGUAUUCGCCCCACAGAGGCCUGGGUCACAUCGCUAGACGCCUAGAACUGUGCUGCUUAAGAGCUGGCAGGUUGUCCCAGGGAUGAUGGACUUACUGGAAGGAGGCAGGUUGGUGGUUAAGAGCCAGGGGUAUAGAAUCAGAGGGUCUGUCUUCUCCUCUUGGCCCUACGGUUUACGGUGUGUGCUACAGACCAUCUGGGAACCUCAGUUUCCACCUUAUAAAAUGGGAGCAAUAAUAGUACCUCCUUCACAGAGCUAUCGCAUGAGAAUUAAGAGUUAAUUCGUGUAAAACUGUCACAUAGUCCCUAACACAGAGUAUGCUUCUAAUCUGCGUUGUUUCUGCUGCCCUGUGAGAUAAGGAGCUAUGACACACCUGACUGCCAGGCGACUCCGCAAGUGCCAGGGCACUCAGCAGUUUAUCAGCGAUUCGGCUAUAACACUGCGCAGUGUGUGGAAGCGCGGUGAGGAUAUGGAGCUGGGGCUAAGUAAGGAUGGAGGACACUAAUCUGGUUGCCUUGAAGGGAUGGGAGUUGGUCAGGAAAGGAGGAAAGGAGAAAAGAAGAAUCACCCACCCUCAAAAAAGGGAGAGGCAAAGCUUUAACCGAAGGUAGAAUUUUCAUCUUUUCAAGCCAAAUAUGAAUCAAUUUCCAACUGUGGGCACAGAAGGGGAAACCCAAACAGAUCCUGGAAGUAUCGCUGACUUGAGAAGAUGGAAAUCAGAGUUUGGGGAGCCCAAGACAAGUUUGGAGGUUAUCAGGUAGAGUUUUGGAAAGGAGGGUACUUUAUAAGAAAAAAGCUCCAUUAAGAACUAGGCUGCCCAUAAAUAGAAGAAAGCUUCACAAAGAUGGACCAAAAAUGACCAUGUCACUGUAAAUGAAAAUAUUCCCAGAGCUCAUGAAGGGAUGAAGACACUUGAGCUCUGACCAUCCAGAAUGGAGAGCUCUUGAUGAUCAUCUGGGAAAUUUGAUGGAGAGCCCAGGAGUCCUGCCUUAGAAGCAAAAGUAAACUAACACUGAAGUGGAAGCUGUUUUAGAUCCACCCUAACAAGAUAUAUAAAUAGACCUCAAAGAUGAUAAAACUGAUCUGCAACUUAUUUAACUCUGUAAAGGAAGAAAACAACAUCUAAGCAACUAACAACAUAAAAUUCAUAAUAUUCAGCAUUCAAUAAAAAAGUUAAUAAACAAGCCAAGAAGAAGGAAAAUGGAACUAAUUACCAAGGAACAAAUUAGUCAAUAGGAAAAGCACAGAAAUAACAAUGUUGUUAGAAUUAGCAAAGAGGUUAAAAACAUGGAAUAUAGCAAGGGGAAAAACAUAAACUAUUAAAAAGAAUCAAAUGAAAUUAGGAAUACAAAAUACAAUAUAUGAAAAUAAAGAAAUGAUAGCUCCAAAUUUUCCAAAUUUGAUGAAAAUUAUAAGCCCACAGUUCCUAAAAGCACGAGACCCAAAGCAGGAUGAACACACACAUGCUAACACAGAUAUAACAAGGUUUACCAUAAUCAAAUACCUAAAAACUACUGAAAAAGAAUAUUUUAAAAACAGCUAAAGAAAAAAGACAUGAUAUACAGAGAAACAAAGACAAAUUACAGGAGAUUUCUUGUAAUUUUAUAAACCAGAGGACAGUAGAAUGACAUUUUCAAAGUACUAAACAAAAAAAGCUUUCAAUCUAAAAGUCUAGAAACAGCAGCAUUGCUCCUCAAAAUAAAGCCAGAUAAAGACAUUUUUCAGAAAAAAAUUUAAAAAAUUUGUUGCCAGCAGACCUGAAUUGCAAUAAAUGUUAAAGGAAGUUCUUCAAAUGGCGAGGAAAUGAUACCAACUGGAAAUAUAGAUCAUUACAGAGAAAAGAAGAGCAGUAGUAGUAAAGCUAAAUAUAUGCUCAAAUACAAAGGUUUUCCCCUUGAUUUUUAGUAUCUUUUAAAAGUAUUUAAUUGCUUAAACAAAAAUGAUACAAUGUAUAUUUUGAGUAUAACAUAUGUAGAAGUAAAACGUAUAACUACAAUAGCACAAAGGAGAAGAGGGAGAAGCAAAAGAAGAUACAAAUGACCAAUAAACACAUGAAAAUAUGCUCAACAUCAUUAGUUAUUAGGGAAAUGCAAAUUAAAACCAUUAUGAAACACUACCACAUGUGUACUAGAUUGUCUAAAUUUAAAAAGAUUGACUAUACCAAGUGCUGGCCAGUAUAUAGAACAACUGAAAGUUUCAUACAUUGAUUUGGGUGAUAUAAAUGGUAAAAUCACUUUGGAAAAUAGUUUUAGAGAUUCUUAUAAAGUUAAACAUACACUUACAACAUGAUUUAGAAAUUCCACUCUUGGAUUUUUACCCGAGAAAAAUGGAAAGCGAAAUGCACAUAGACUUGUACAUGAAUGUU